RNAcentral lists this ribosomal RNA (301 nucleotides) under uncultured bacterium. Its description in RNAcentral is "partial 16S ribosomal RNA". It matches the Rfam family "Bacterial small subunit ribosomal RNA", at positions 509 to 807 of the family's 1533-position model. The record is from RNAcentral.
CAGUCGCCGCGGGAAUACAGAGGUCUCAAGCGUUGUUCGGAUUCAUUGGGCGUAAAGGGUGCGUAGGUGGCGGUGUAAGUCUAACGUGAAAUCUCGGGGCUCAACCUCGAAAUUGCGUCGGAUACUGCAUUGCUAGAGGAUUGUAGAGGAGAGUGGAAUUCAUGGUGUAGCAGUGAAAUGCGUAGAUAUCAUGAGGAAGACCAGUUGCGAAGGCGACUCUCUGGGCCAACACUGACACUGAGGCACGAAAGCGUGGGGAGCAAACAGGAUUAGAUACCCCAGUAGUCCCUGUCUCUUAUAC